GUAUCACAUUGAAACACCGGGUUCCGCAUGAUCUCCGUAGUUAAGCAAUGUCGAGCCGGGUCAGUAUCUAGAUGGGUAACCGAUUAGGAAUACCAGGGGCUGUAA
Non-coding RNA from Acanthosepion pharaonis, 105 nucleotides. Lineage: Eukaryota; Metazoa; Mollusca; Cephalopoda; Sepiida; Sepiidae. The record is from the annotation of a GenBank genome assembly.